AGGAAAUGAGCCAUGGGUGAGCAAGCAUUACCACCUGAGCUCCGCCUUCUGUCAGAUCACUGGGGGCAUUAGAUUCUCACUGGAGCACAAACCCUGUUGUGAACCGUGCAUGUAAGGGAUCUAGUUUGCAUGCUCCUUAUAAGGAGCAUAUAUCUAAUGCCUGAUCUGUCACUGUCUCCCAUCGCCUCCAGAUGGGACUGUCUAGUUGCAGGAAAACAAGCUCAGGGCUCCCAACUGAUUCUACAUUAUGGUGAGUUGUAUAAUUGCUUCAUUAUAUAUUACAAUGUAAUAAUAAUAGAAAUAAAGUGUGCAAUAAAUGUCAUGUGCUUGAAUCAUCCUGAAACCAUCUCCCGUUUCUCCUGCCUGGUCCGUGGAAAAAGUGUCUUCCAUGAAACCGGUCCCUGGUGCCAAAAAGGUUGGGGACCACUGCCCUAACACAUGGAAAAGGCCUAGAAGCCAGGUCCCUGCAGCACUCUCCCCUGGCCUCCCAUUGGACUUUCUAGAGGUUAGAGUACAGAGCGCAUUCCCUAACGGUGCAAAACCCAAGGUAAGGAGCCCAUGGCAGGUGGCCUCUCCUGGGAUUACCUGUCUCCUGUGUAAGGAUGAGGGCAGUUACAGGAAGCUCCUUUGGGGGAGAGGAUGCAAGUUCCACCUUCCAGGCAGGGUGCAAAAGUACAGUUCUCCCUUCCUUGUUCACAGUGCUUCCCAGAGAACUGUGGGGGACAUUUGCAGACAUAGCCUGGGAGAAAAAGAAGGGAGGUGAGAGACCGCACUGGCCUAGCAGUUAAAGGAGACCUGGCAUUGGCAGACUGGUGUGUUUGUGCAGCCGUUCAGUUACCAUUUAUUUAUUUGGUUGCUCCCCUCUGUGCCCAAUACCGUGCUGGGCAUUGGUGCCCUGCUGAACAAGAGCACUUUGGUCCCUGCCCUCAAACAGCUUACAGCCCACCAGAGACAACAGUCACCUAAAGAACAGUAAUAAACAGGAUAACAACCAUAGACACUAACUUAGUGCUAGUCACUGUUCCAAGGAUCUUCCUGUGUUGGCUCAUUUGAUCCUCACGAUGACCCUGAGGUUGGUGACUGUCAUCAUCCUCAUCAGGGGACAGGUACAAAGGGAUGGCAGAUGAGGAAAGGAGGCACAGAGAAUGGACAGAAUUUGCUCAAGCCAGUAAAUGGCAAAGCUGGGGUUCAAACCUAGACAGCUAGCUAUAAUAUCAGUAUCUCAGUAAUUAUAAUAAAAUUAGUUUUAUUGAAGGGAAAUGCUGGGAGGGGUGGGGGAUGAGGCUAGCUUACUCUAGGGAUCUGGGAGCUAUUUCAUUUGAGAUCUGAAGGAUGAGUAGAAAUUAGCUAGGCAAGAAGCUAGAGGGCAAAGAGAAAGGUGUUUCAGGCGGAAGAGAAGAGUGUGUGCAAAGGCUAGGGAAGGGUGUGGCAUGGUCAAGGAACUCAAACCACACCAGGGUGGGCCAGCCUGGUGAGGGACAGGGAGAGUUUGAACUAUGGCCUGGGAGGUGCAGGAGCCACAUGCAGGGAUUGGGACUCUAUCCUAACAGCACGGCGGCCACUGAGCAGUUCUCAGCAGAAGAGUGCCAUGCACAGGUCUGUGCUGGAUAAAGAUCACCCCGGCUCCUGCUGGAAGGUGGAAGGCCGGGAUAGAAGCUGGAGAACAGGGAGGAGGCUGGUGCCAGGGUGAGAGGUGAUGGGGGCUUGGGACAGAGGGACAGCAGUGGGGAAAGAGAGAAGUGAUGGAUUCCUUGGAUAUUUUGCAGGUAGAAAUGACAUGAUUAGCCAGACAAAAAUCAGAAAAAGGGGUAAUGCGAAGUGUUGACAGGCAUGUCACAUGUUGACAGGCAUGUGGGUACAUAGGAACCUCUCAUGUUGUGUGUGAUGUAUAGAAUAGAUGGCUGAGAGGCAUGUGGGUACACAGGAACCUCUCAUGUUGCGUGUGAUGUAUAGAAUAGCCAUGCUGAGAGCAAUGUAUCCCUAUUUAGUCAAAAUAAUUAUUUGCAUACUGUGAGCCUGUGACUUCCACCCCUGGGUGUCGGGUGUGUGUGUGUGAAGGAAACUCUCACACAGCUUCACAAGGAGACAUAUAGGAGAAUGCUCCCUGCAGCAUUGAUGAUGGAGAUGGGUGUUUGGAGUGCGAGGGUGGAGAGGGAAAAUGUGAGUGCGUGUACAUCAUGGAGUACUGAGCCACAGUUAGAAGCAAUUAAUGAGAAUUGCUCAUGGCAGCAUUGACAGAUCUUAAAAAUAUGGUGCUGAGCGAAAGCGUAAACAACAUAUACCACUUAUAUAAAUUGGAAAUUCAAGCAUAUGAAAAACAACAUGUAUUUUGCAAGAACUCAUUCAAAAACUGUAAAUGUUUGCCUCUAGUGUUAGGGAAGGGGAAGGGAGUGGAAUAUAAGUUAAAGGGGAAUGAGAAGGAGACUGUGCAUAGACCAGUGAUGACACUAAGGUAUGUGAUUAAUUCAACCCUCUGUCCCUGAGGUCCCCAUUCAUAUCCUCCCUCGUCCCCCCAGAAGUAGAAAGAUAGUUUUUGUUGAGAGGGAAGGAAGACUCCUGGCUUCCCCUAGUCUAGAUAUUGCAGAUUCCAACCUGUUACUCACAAGAUAGGGGAAGAGAGAGAAAUUUCGAACCAGGAGGCUCUGAGAUCUCCACCCUGACAUGCCUUUCCCACCUGAAGAGCCUUCUGGGAUAAACCCUGGGUUCAGCCUGGCACCCCAGCCCUCACCUGCCCCGUGGGUCCAUGAGCACUUCCCACCAUUGAGGCAUGGGUUCUGGCUGCAGUAGUCACUGUGGAGGCAGCACUGGGUGAGGGCUUGUGUCUCCAGCAAGCCUGCCACCGUCUUGCCAGGGGCCAGCAGAUCUAGAGCCUCUUCGUUGACCACGACAGCAUCCAGGCAGCCUUCAAAGCCCUGGGAGACAUUCGAGGAAGAAUGCAACAGAAUGAGGCCGCCCAGCAAGAGGUGCCUUUCGGGCCUCAGACCACGGCAGUUCUCUGGGACCACAAGGGAGGUGUUGCCCAUGCUGUCAACCAUCAGGCGAAUGGAAGCGUCCAUCUCCUCCACCAGGAUGGAGUGCCACUCGUGGUCAUUCACAUGGCGCUGGGAGGAAAGGUUUCCAUAGAAACCACCCAGACAGUGGUAUUCCAGCUGGGGCACUCCACUGGCCAGCUGCAAAGGAAACCCAAACAGCCAUCAGCAAAGCCAAGGAGUCCUUGUAAACCUGCUAAGAGGCUGCCAGUUCAAAGAAUGUUGUUUGUAUUUUUAUGGGUAGGAGGGGGGUGUUUGGCUGUUUUAGACAUGGCAUUUGCAGAGCAUAAAAACCCUCAAAGUG
Molecule: non-coding RNA, 3333 nt
Filed under: Pan troglodytes (chimpanzee)
Lineage: Eukaryota; Metazoa; Chordata; Mammalia; Primates; Hominidae
Source: RNAcentral